UGAUCUUUGAGAUAUACCAAGAAAUUCUUCAGUGCUUUGAGGACUGCAAGAAGUUCUAGCAGAUUGGAAUGCACAUUGUUUGUCAUGAAACUCCAUUCUUCCUGUGCAAAGUCGUGGAGACAAUGGGCGCCCCAUCCCCAUUGGCUGGCAUCUGUUGUCACUGCUAUCCAUGUGAUGUCUCCUAGUGGAAACCCCCUGGAAAGGUGUUCUUUGUUCAGCCACCAGAUCAGAGAAUGGCGUACGGCCCGGGAUAACUUGAUGGGUUGGAGUAAAUUCUUGGAAGAAAAUUGCAUCAGGAAAUUGGCUUGAAAUGGUCUCAUCCUCCAUUGUGCCCAUCUGGUCAGCCCUAUCGUGGAUGACAUAGAUCCAAGGAGGCUCAUUACUGCCUUUGCAGGAACAAUACUGGACUUUAUCAUCUU
Non-coding RNA from Pelobates cultripes (western spadefoot toad), 419 nucleotides. Lineage: Eukaryota; Metazoa; Chordata; Amphibia; Anura; Pelobatidae. The record is from the annotation of a GenBank genome assembly.